AACUCCGUGCCAGCAGCCGCGGUAAUACGGGGUAUGCAAGCGUUAUCCGGAAUUAUUGGGUGUAAAGCGUCUGUAGGUUGCUUACUUAAGUCAGUUGUUAAAUUUCAGAACUCAAUUUUGAUACCAGCAACUGAAACUAAUAAGCUAGAGUCAAGUAGAGGUAGAAGGAACUCCGAGUGUAGCGGUGAAAUGCGUAGAUAUUCGGAAGAACACCGAUGGCGAAAGCAUUCUGCUGGACUUGUACUGACACUGAGAGACGAAAGCGAGGGGAGAGAAUGGGAUUAGAUACCCCAGUAUUCCUCGCCGUAAACGAUGGAUAUUAGGUAUUAGGUAAAAUUAUUUAGUACUGAAGCUAACGCGUUAAAUAUCCCACCUGGGGAGUAUGCUCGCAAGAGUGAAACUUAAAGGAAUUGACGGGGGCCCGCACAAGCGGUGGAG
This 438-nucleotide ribosomal RNA is filed under the name Paraphysomonas bandaiensis. RNAcentral describes it as "partial Bacterial small subunit ribosomal RNA". It matches the Rfam family "Bacterial small subunit ribosomal RNA", at positions 499 to 937 of the family's 1533-position model. Lineage: Eukaryota; Chrysophyceae; Chromulinales; Paraphysomonadaceae. The record is from RNAcentral.